AGAGUUUGAUCCUGGCUCAGGAUGAACGCUAGCAACAGGCUUAACACAUGCAAGUCGAGGGGCAGCGGGGGCGUAGCAAUAUGCCUGCCGGCGACCGGCGCACGGGUGAGUAACACGUAUGUAACCUGCCCUAUGCAGGGGGAUAACCCGGAGAAAUCCGGCCUAAUACCGCGUAACACCUUAGGGGAGCAUUCUCUUGAGGUUAAAGGAGAGAUCCGGCAUAGGAUGGACAUGCGUCGCAUUAGGUAGACGGCGGGGUAACGGCCCACCGUGCCGACGAUGCGUAGGGGUUCUGAGAGGAAGGCCCCCCACACUGGUACUGAGACACGGACCAGACUCCUACGGGAGGCAGCAGUGAGGAAUAUUGGUCAAUGGCCGAGAGGCUGAACCAGCCAAGUCGCGUGAGGGAAGAAUGUCCUAAGGAUUGUAAACCUCUUUUGUCGGGGAGCAAAAAGGCUCUGCGGAGUCGUAUUGAGAGUACCCGAAGAAAAAGCAUCGGCUAACUCCGUGCCAGCAGCCGCGGUAAUACGGAGGAUGCGAGCGUUAUCCGGAUUUAUUGGGUUUAAAGGGUGCGCAGGCGGCGUGUCAAGCAAGCGGUAAAAUAGCGGGGCUCAACCCCGUCGAGCCGUUUGAACUGGCGCGCUUGAGUUCAGGCGAGGUAGGCGGAAUUCGUGGUGUAGCGGUGAAAUGCAUAGAUAUCACGAAGAACUCCGAUUGCGAAGGCAGCUUACCAGUCUGCGACUGACGCUCAGGCACGAAAGUGUGGGUAUCGAACAGGAUUAGAUACCCUGGUAGUCCACACAGUAAACGAUGAGCGCUAGGUGUCCGGGUCGCAUGAGACUUGGGUGCCCGAGCGAAAGCGUUAAGCGCUCCACCUGGGGAGUACGCCGGCAACGGUGAAACUCAAAGGAAUUGACGGGGGCCCGCACAAGCGGAGGAACAUGUGGUUUAAUUCGAUGAUACGCGAGGAACCUUACCCGGGCUCAAACGACUCAGGAAUAUAUUGGAAACGAUGUAGCCAGCAAUGGUCUGAGUCGAGGUGCUGCAUGGUUGUCGUCAGCUCGUGCCGUGAGGUGUCGGCUUAAGUGCCAUAACGAGCGCAACCCCUACCGCCAGUUGCCAACGGGUAAAGCCGGGAACUCUGGCGGGACUGCCGGCGCAAGCUGCGAGGAAGGCGGGGAUGACGUCAAAUCAGCACGGCCCUUACGUCCGGGGCGACACACGUGUUACAAUGGCAGGUACAGCGGGAAGCCACCUGGUGACUGGGAGCGGAACCCGAAAGCCUGUCUCAGUUCGGAUUGGAGUCUGCAACUCGACUCCAUGAAGCUGGAUUCGCUAGUAAUCGCGCAUCAGCCAUGGCGCGGUGAAUACGUUCCCGGGCCUUGCACUCACCGCCCGUCA
This 1401-nucleotide ribosomal RNA is filed under the name uncultured bacterium. RNAcentral's name for it is "16S ribosomal RNA". It matches the Rfam family "Bacterial small subunit ribosomal RNA". The record is from RNAcentral.